RNAcentral lists this ribosomal RNA (370 nucleotides) under uncultured eukaryote. RNAcentral's name for it is "partial 18S ribosomal RNA". It matches the Rfam family "Eukaryotic small subunit ribosomal RNA", at positions 592 to 976 of the family's 1831-position model. The record is from RNAcentral.
CAAUAGCGUAAAUUAAAAUUGUUGCAGUUAAAAAGCUCGUAGUUGGACCUUGGACCUGGACAGGCGGUCCGCCUCACGGCGAGUACUGUCUUGCUGGGUCUUUCCUCUUGGUGAUCUGUUGUUUCGGCAGCAGGGAACCAGGACCUUUACUUUGAAAAAAUUAGAGUGUUCAAAGCAGGCUCGACGCCGGAAUAUAUUAGCAUGGAAUAAUAAAAUAGGACGUGCGGUUCUAUUUUGUUGGUUUUUGGAAUCGCCGUAAUGAUUAAUAGGGACAGUCGGGGGCAUUAGUACUCACAUGCUAGAGGUGAAAUUCUUGGAUUUUGUGAAGACUAACUUCUGCGAAAGCAUUUGCCAAGGAUGUUUUCAUUGA